This is a small nucleolar RNA of Solanum dulcamara, 90 nucleotides long. The record is from RefSeq and is a predicted model, not a curated record. Lineage: Eukaryota; Viridiplantae; Streptophyta; Magnoliopsida; Solanales; Solanaceae.
UGGGUGUGAUUAAAUGAUUUUUCCACGCCGCUGAGAGUAACUAAUGAAGCAUAUGAUCAAAAAAAUAGUUGAAUUUCUUAAUAUGAGCCU